UCCGCCCCGCCGCUCGAAGAUUGUCUCCGCCUCCUGCGUGGCGAGCGCGACGAGCAGAAGCUGGCGGGCCUCUUCAGAGUCAACCUCUUCACCUCACCCAGAGUGGAUCUUUCUUCACUUUAUAUCAGCCAAGUCCAUUUGUCCAUGCUUCUAUCCUAUCAUCUAUGUUCAUUUUAUUUCUGUUGAUUUAUCACAUGCGUGUGUAAAUUCUUGUUUUGGGUGAUGCGUUGUUCAGGCUUUACUUCUCAAUUAAUACCUGACGGUCAUCUGCUCUUUAUUUCCUCUACUCUGCCAAUUGAGGAC
This 303-nucleotide long non-coding RNA is filed under the name Hordeum vulgare. RNAcentral's name for it is "long non-coding RNA (HVUL_LNC005754)". The record is from RNAcentral. Lineage: Eukaryota; Viridiplantae; Streptophyta; Magnoliopsida; Poales; Poaceae.